UGUGACGCAAUAGAUAGGGAAGCCCCGAUUGGCCACCAAGGGCUUCCCCCAACUGGAGGCCUGAGUAUAUAUAGACCAUCAGCUCAGUGUUAGAAUAAAGAGAAGGAAGUUGGUAGAUGGGCUUUGCUGAAGGAGUGAGGCUGCUUGUUAAGAGGGAGACAACUUCACUGCUCAUUGUACAUUCCAAGGCUUUGGCUCAGAUUUCUCACUGCGGUUAAGGCAUAUGAUAAGUACUUCUGGCGGUAUUAAACCAGAUAUCACCUGAGUCGGGUAAAUAGAAAAAUAUAUUGUGGACGUGCUGACAAAUGCAUAUUACCUGAGUUGCUUGUACUGUACCCGGAGUCGAAUCCCUUUAUCAAAGAAAGUUAUGCAGUUUAUAAAAAUUCAAGGACUUAACAAAUCAGUGACUAGCAUUAAACUCUAAUGUCACUUUCCAUAAAGCAAAGAUAUUUAGUCAGCUACCUUCCUGGAAAUUGGGAAUU
Molecule: long non-coding RNA, 482 nt
Filed under: Pan troglodytes (chimpanzee)
Lineage: Eukaryota; Metazoa; Chordata; Mammalia; Primates; Hominidae
Description: long non-coding RNA NONPTRT017230
Source: RNAcentral